Picea glauca (white spruce) is the source of this 119-nucleotide non-coding RNA. The record is from Rfam. NCBI's taxonomy places the organism in Eukaryota, Viridiplantae, Streptophyta, Pinopsida, Pinales, Pinaceae.
AAUGUAAUUCUUACAACAUUAAUGCAUCAGAUCCCAUUAGAAAUCCACAGUUAAACGCGCUUGGGCUAGAGUAGUACUGGGAUGGGUGACCUCCUGAGAAGUCUUAGUGUUUUACAUGC